RNAcentral lists this ribosomal RNA (468 nucleotides) under uncultured bacterium. Its description in RNAcentral is "partial 16S ribosomal RNA". It matches the Rfam family "Bacterial small subunit ribosomal RNA", at positions 28 to 507 of the family's 1533-position model. The record is from RNAcentral.
GACGAACGCUGGCGGCGUGCUUAACACAUGCGAGUCGAACGGAAAGGCCCUGCUUUUGUGGGGUGCUCGAGUGGCGAACGGGUGAGUAGCACGUGAGUAACCUGCCCUUGACUUUGGGAUAACUUCAGGAAACUGGGGCUAAUACCGGAUAGGAGCUCCUGCUGCAUGGUGGGGGUUGGAAAGUUUCGGCGGUUGGGGAUGGACUCGCGGCUUAUCAGCUUGUUGGUGGGGUAGUGGCUUACCAAGGCUUUGACGGGUAGCCGGCCCGAGAGGGUGACCGGCCACAUUGGGACUGAGAUACGGCCCAGACUCCUACGGGAGGCAGCAGUGGGGAAUAUUGCACAAUGGGCGGAAGCCUGAUGCAGCAACGCCGCGUGCGGGAUGACGGCCUUCGGGUUGUAAACCGCUUUCGCCUGUGACGAAGCGUGAGUGACGGUAAUGGGUAAAGAAGCACCGGCUAACUACGUG